CUCAGACUGGCUCAGAUGGUACAGCGUCUGCCUCCAAUGCAGGAGACCCGGGUUCGAUCCCUGGGUCUGGAA
RNAcentral lists this transfer RNA (72 nucleotides) under Ovis aries (sheep). It matches the Rfam family "tRNA". Rfam says of the family: Transfer RNA (tRNA) molecules are approximately 80 nucleotides in length. The record is from Rfam by way of RNAcentral. Lineage: Eukaryota; Metazoa; Chordata; Mammalia; Artiodactyla; Bovidae.